RNAcentral lists this ribosomal RNA (421 nucleotides) under uncultured bacterium. RNAcentral describes it as "bacterial SSU rRNA". It matches the Rfam family "Bacterial small subunit ribosomal RNA", at positions 355 to 774 of the family's 1533-position model. The record is from RNAcentral.
UAGGGAAUCAUCGGCAAUGGGGGAAACCCUGACCGUGCAAUGCCGCGUGAGUGAUGAAGGCCUUAGGGUUGUAAAGCUCUGUUGUGAAGGAAGAAUAGCCUAGAUAGAAUCUAGGUCUGACGGUACUUCACCAGAAAGCCAUGGCUAACUACGUGCCAGCAGCCGCGGUAAUACGUAGAUGGCAAGCGUUAUCCGGAUUUAUUGGGCGUAAAGGGUGCUCAGCUGGUUUAUUAAGUUUGUAGUUAAAAUUCGAAGCUCAACUUCGAAGUGCUGCGAAAACUGGUAGACUUGAGUACAGGAGAGGGUAGUGGAAUUCCAUGUGAAGCGGUAAAAUGCGUAGAUAUAUGGAGGAACACCAGUGGCGAAGGCGGCUACCUGGCCUGUAACUGACAGUCAAGCACGAAAGCGUGGGGAGCAAAUA